Long non-coding RNA from Homo sapiens (human), 1277 nucleotides. The record is from Ensembl. NCBI's taxonomy places the organism in Eukaryota, Metazoa, Chordata, Mammalia, Primates, Hominidae.
ACGUUUAUCCGGACUGGAGCCCGCCGCUCCCGGCCGGGUUUCCGGGUGGUUCGCGCUCCUUCUGAAUUGGCAGCGAGGUCGCGGCAGGUUCGAGGCUGUCUGGGAAGUGAGAAUCCUCCCUAAUGGAUGUUUCACCCAAUUAAAUAAUUAACUCCAAGUGUUGCUAAGCAUCCUCGCCUCUCACCUUCCAGUCCUGGAGGCGUCCUCAUGCCAGGCUGCGGCUGCUGCUGAGACAAGGAGCCUAGUGGGAGGAGCCAGGAGUGGGGGACAGUGCCCCUGAUGCUUCUGUACAGGAUGAGGGAGAUAAAUGCACCUGAGAGGGAAGGAAUUUUAAAGCCAGUUGGAGUGAAAAUGUCCUCAUCUUCUCUGGGACAGGAAAUCCUUUUUACCUACAUAGAAAAGUUACGUUAUUGGAAUUUACAUCCCUCCUCCAUAAGAAAAAAGACAUCUUCUCUUCCAAAUGUCCACCAUGCUAAUUUUAUCUCUUUCUUAUUAUAUUUAACUUUAAAAAUCUUGAUCAUUAUAAUUGCUGUGGGUCGUAUAUUCACUGUGAAUAUUCUGUGAGAGAUGACAGUUUUAUUCUUAAUAACCUGCAUAUUAAGAAUCGCCAUGCCUUUUUCAUGGUUAGUGUUCAAUCCACAUGUUAAAAGAAUGAAAAAUGCAUUACUGAAUUAUCUUAUAUUACCCUUUUUUGCAGAAUCAUUCUUUGUAGUGUUAGUGAAAUAUGCCGAAUAUUAAAAUAGGAACCAAACUUUUUAUAAAAUGCUGCCUCUGCUGUCUCACAAUGCCUAAUGCUACCUCUAAACGAUAGUUAUUAUUCUUUUCUGUCAUAUAAAGAAACAUAGUCAUGCCAAUUGGUUUUUUGCCACUAUAUAUCCAGUGGGAAUCACACAGAGAAUCAAUUCAUUACAAUGAUAAAUUACACCAUUAAAUAGUAUAUUAUGCCAGAAUAAUCUAGAAGGUCAUGAAAGAAAGAUUAAGAGAUGACAAGAGAAUCUACAAUGUGUAAGAAAGUGCAUGAUACAUGAAAAAAUAGGUUUUGGUUUGAUAUCUACCAAAUAUGUUAAAUGAAUAUAUAACCCUGUAAAAAUUGAAAAAUUACAUACUUGUAAAAUCAGAAUAAAACUUGAGAUACUCAUCUUUUGUAUAACUUACAUGAAAUUGUACCAAGUGAUGACUUUUUAAAUACAGUUCUAGUUAUUUCAUAUUUCUACUCAAGUAAUGUGGUUUGCUCCAUAGGAGUUAUUUGAAAAUAAACCUCUUUUCAAAUGCUCAAA